GGGGAUAUGGCGAAAUCGGUAGACGCUACGGACUUAAUUGAAUUGAGCCUUGGUAUGGAAACCCACUAAGUGAUAACUUUCAAAUUCAGAGAAACCCUGGAAUUAAUAAAAAGGGGCAAUUCUGAGCCAAAUCCCGUUUUCCGAAACCAAAGGUUCAGAAAGUGAAAAAGGAUAGGUGCAGAGACUCAACGGAAGCUGUUCUAACAAAUGGAGUUGGCUGCGUUAGUAGAGAAAUCUUUCCAUCGAAAAUUCCGAAAGGAUAAAGUAUAAAGUGAAGGAUAAACGUAUAUAUACGUAUUGAAUACUAUAUCAAAUGAUUAAUGACGACUCGACUGAAUCUGUAUUUUUUAUAUGAAAACGGAAGAAUUGGUGUGAAUAGAUUCCACAUUGAAGAAAGAAUCGAAUAUUCAUUGAUCAAAUGAUUCACUCCAUAGUCUGAUAGAUCUUUUCAAGAAUUGAUUAAUCGGACGAGAAUAAAGAUAGAGUCCCGUUCUACAUGUCAAUGUCGGCAACAAUGAAAUUUAUAGUAAGAGGAAAAUCCGUCGACUUUAAAAAUCGUGAGGGUUCAAGUCCCUCUAUCCCCAA
This 585-nucleotide non-coding RNA is filed under the name Coddia rudis. RNAcentral describes it as "transfer RNA-Leu". The stretch from base 26 to 509 matches the Rfam family "Group I catalytic intron". From Rfam's summary of the family: Group I catalytic introns are large self-splicing ribozymes. They catalyse their own excision from mRNA, tRNA and rRNA precursors in a wide range of organisms. Lineage: Eukaryota; Viridiplantae; Streptophyta; Magnoliopsida; Gentianales; Rubiaceae. The record is from RNAcentral.